This 119-nucleotide ribosomal RNA is filed under the name Theobroma cacao (cacao). Lineage: Eukaryota; Viridiplantae; Streptophyta; Magnoliopsida; Malvales; Malvaceae. The record is from RNAcentral.
AGGGGCGAUCAUAUCAACAUUAAUGCAUUAAAUCUCAUUAGAGUUUAACAGUUAAAUGUAUUUGGCCGAGAACAGUAAUAAGAUAGAUGACUUCCAUAUAAGUCGUCGUCUUGCACCAU